GUAAACUUCCUCCAUCCUUAAAGGAACUUUGAAAGCCCCACUGGGAGCUGGCACAGGGGCAGUUGGAAGGAACCCACUGCCUCCAGAAAUGGCUUUACCAUCAGCAACAAGUCAGUGCUGCUGGGGACCAGCUGGCCAGGUUAGCUGCUCUUGUCUAAACAUGGCUCUUAAUCACAGCAGUGUCUUGCAGCCUCUUGGGCCUCAGUGGGAAACACGUGGCAAUGACAUCACUCCCCUGGCUGGACCAGACAGGCACUUUGGGGGAACUUCCAUGUUUAGUAAAGUUGCCCUGAUGGUCUCCAACUGAAGAGAACAUUAUCUGGGGAGUGGGGCAAUUUGUGUUUGAGGUUUAUGCCCUACCUCUGCCCUCUUGCCCUUGGCUACUGUUUAGCAUACUAGCCCUGCACCUAGUCCUGACACCGGCAGGACCUGCUCACAUUUGCACGCAUCAGCUUGUACAGAAAGGGCUUCAUUCUUAAGGAACCUCGUCCACGCCAAGAUUUGUUUGGUUAGCUCAGAGUUCCACUUUCUUGAAGCAAAUCAGAAGGUCAAAGAUUCAUCGAAAAGACGCUCAACAACUUCCUACCACUUUCUCCUAGCAACACUUCCUCGCUUGACAGGUCAGUCUGUUCUGUCAAGACUUCCUGAGAGAACACAGAAGCGGUUAACUCUGCAAGUGCCCCGCGUGAGCGCUAGGAUCGCAGUGAGCUGAUACAGCCUACUCCACACCCCAACUCCUAAGCCACUAGCCAGAACCAGCCGGUUUCUUUAUAAGUCAUAAAAACAGUCCCUGGGUUGAUGGCCGCCUGGCCACCUAAUCGGUGGACACUGGAAAAAAUACACUUAGUGCUGCUUAAUCGCCCUUCCCAGCAGGGCACUUGUGAGCUGUCUGAAUAAAGGAUGGAGAAAGAGACAAGCCUGAGUUGCGAGUCCAGCCUUGCCAAGAGAGCAGAUCAGCCUGAGUGAGCAAGACUUCGGCCUCCAGGCUACACCCACCCUGGGUGGGCAGGCCAGUUUUACAGCAUGCUCUGAGAGGCAAUGGGCUAUCCUGCUUCCUGCCACCUUCUCUCUGGGUUGGUAAGACGGGAGCACCAUAUUGCUUUGUUUCCCUCUUCUGGUCCAGACCCAAAGAGGAGGGGCCGGAGGAAAGAGCCAGGGACACCUUGGAAAGGGCAGUUUGGCUCCAAACAGCUUGAGAUCAACAUUCCUGCUCUCCUGUUCUGGCCACAAUGCUGAAGCCUCUCAAUCAGAAAUGUAAUCACAUCCCAAUUGGCGCAUCUCAGAACUGAGCUGCUUGGCUUGGCUGGAACUGUUCCCUGGAGCCUGGGCUUCGCAGUCAUGGAGAGAUGCUCAAACCCAAUCCCCUGAGAGUCCUGGGGGCGAAGGACACCAGAUCACAAUUGCUAUUAACACUUGCUAGGAUUUCCAAAAGCCCGUGGUACUGGCGGGCCCGGGACCUUGCUCCUUACCGCAGUGGUAGACUGAGGAACUAGAGAUUCUGCAGGGGAUCCUGGCCAAGGUCAGGGUUGGUGGCAGGGGCAGCGUUCAGGAUCUAGUCAGAGUGACUUUUUAGCUGUACCACUAAGUGACCUCUUCCCCAGGACAUGGGUAUUUCCCUAGGACAGGGGCAUUUCCCAAAUGCUGUGUUUAGAGUCCAUGGUAGCCUGUCCAACAUAUCCAUCUGCUUCUCUAGCCAACUUCUGCUCUGGGUUGACUGGGAAGCAGCCAGCAACACCAGUCUCUUGCAGCAGCUGGACUGCUCUGUGGGUACAAUGAAUUCCCAGUUUUCCUUGCUCAUCUAUCUGAUUUGGGAAUUAUGCAAGUGACUGGCUUCUGAGACCUAUCAGGGACCAAGCUGGUAAAAGCAGAAUCCACCAAGUAAUAAAAAUGUCAGGUGCCUUAGUCUCAGGGGCGGAGCCCCAAUCUUAUUUAUGCACAAGGAAGUUGAGAGCCAGGGGCAUGAAGAUCACUUGGAGAGGAGAAAGCCAAGCUGGAAGUGCAUUCUGGGUACUGCAAUGCCCUGGAUACUGCUCUUCAUCCACCAAGUUAUUCCUCAGGACUGACCAGGUGGGAAUGGACUCGGGUGUAGAAAGAAAAAGAGGGACUGGGAGAGAAGGAAGAAAUGAAAGGGAGAUGGGGGAAGAGAGAGGGAGAGGGAGGGAGAGAGAGAGAGAACACUCUGAAUCCCCAAAGGCAUAUCCAAGUAGAUAUAUUGAGAAUUAUCCUGUUUCCUCUGUCUCUUACUCUGUCAGCUAUACAGAAACACUGUGAAGUAAAACUGCUGUGUGGAGUGUGUAA
Long non-coding RNA from Mesocricetus auratus (golden hamster), 2298 nucleotides. RefSeq lists it as uncharacterized. The record is from RefSeq and is a predicted model, not a curated record. NCBI's taxonomy places the organism in Eukaryota, Metazoa, Chordata, Mammalia, Rodentia, Cricetidae. The transcript has 2 exons.